GUCAGUAUGUCCGAGUGGUUAAGGAGAUAGACUUGAAAUCUAUUGGGCUCUGCCCGCGCAGGUUCAAGUCCUGCUGCUGACG
Molecule: transfer RNA, 82 nt
Filed under: Smittium megazygosporum
Lineage: Eukaryota; Fungi; Kickxellomycota; Harpellomycetes; Harpellales; Legeriomycetaceae
Also listed under: 2 other names
Rfam family: tRNA
About the family: Transfer RNA (tRNA) molecules are approximately 80 nucleotides in length. Their secondary structure includes four short double-helical elements and three loops (D, anti-codon, and T loops).
Source: Rfam by way of RNAcentral